This 79-nucleotide transfer RNA is filed under the name Acidimicrobiales bacterium. RNAcentral describes it as "tRNA-Leu". It matches the Rfam family "tRNA". From Rfam's summary of the family: Transfer RNA (tRNA) molecules are approximately 80 nucleotides in length. RNAcentral also lists the same sequence under 2 other names. The record is from RNAcentral. Lineage: Bacteria; Bacillati; Actinomycetota; Acidimicrobiia; Acidimicrobiales.
GGGCGCGUGGUGGAACGGCAGACACGCUGGCUUUAGGUGCCAGUGCUUCGGCGUGAGGGUUCGAAUCCCUCCGCGCCCA